Molecule: ribosomal RNA, 449 nt
Filed under: uncultured bacterium
Lineage: Bacteria
Description: partial 16S ribosomal RNA
Rfam family: Bacterial small subunit ribosomal RNA
Source: RNAcentral
AACGAACGCUGGCUGCAUGCCUAAUACAUGCAAGUCGAACGAGAUCUUCGGAUCUAGUGGCGCACGGGUACGUAACGCGUGGGAAUCUGCCCAUGGGUUCGGCAUAACAGCGGGAAACUUCUGCUCUUACCGGAUGAUGACGUAAGUCCAAAGAUUUAUCGCCCAGGGAUGAGCCCGCGUAUGAUUAGGUAGGGGGUGGGGUAAAGGCCUACCAACCCUACGAUCCUUAGCUGGUCUGAGAGGAUGCUCAGCGACACUGGGACUGAGACACGGAACAGACUCCUACGUGAGGCAGCAGUAGUGAAUAUUGGACAAUGGGGUCAGCCCUGAUCCAGCAAUGCCGCGUGAGUGAUGAAGGCCUUAGGGUUGUAAAGCUCUGUUUCCCUGGAUGAUAAUGACAGUACCGGGAGAAUAAGCCCCGGCUAACUCCGUGCCAGCAGCCGCGGUAA